CCUACGGGUGGCAGCAGUGGGGAAUAUUGCACAAUGGGCGAAAGCCUGAUGCAGCAACGCCGCGUGAGCGAUGAAGGCCUUCGGGUCGUAAAGCUCUGUCCUCAAGGACGAUAAUGAAGGUACUUGAGGAGGAAGCCCCGGCUAACUACGUGCCAGCAGCCGCGGUAAUACGUAGGGGGCGAGCGUUCUCCGGAAUUACCGGGGGAAAAGGUAGCGUCGGUGGUUGCUUAAGUCAGAGGUGAAAGGCUAAGGCUCAACCGUAGUAAGCCUUUGAAACUGGGGAACUUGAGUGCAGGAGAGGAGAGUGGAAUUCCUAGUGUAGCGGUGAAAUGCGUGGAUAUUAGGAGGAACACCAGUUGCGAAGGCGGCUCUCUGGACUGUAACUGACACUGAGGCACGAAAGCGUGGGGAGCAAACAGGAUUAGAUACCCCUGUAGUC
RNAcentral lists this ribosomal RNA (439 nucleotides) under uncultured bacterium. Its description in RNAcentral is "partial 16S ribosomal RNA". It matches the Rfam family "Bacterial small subunit ribosomal RNA", at positions 338 to 795 of the family's 1533-position model. The record is from RNAcentral.